Oryza glumipatula is the source of this 208-nucleotide non-coding RNA. The record is from Rfam. Lineage: Eukaryota; Viridiplantae; Streptophyta; Magnoliopsida; Poales; Poaceae.
AAUAAGCGUAACCAUAAGUUUCCGUGUAUAACUUUGAUUGUCCGUCUUGUUUGAAAUUCUUUUAUGAUUAGUAUUUUUAUUGAUAUUAGAUUAUAAAAUAUGAAUAAUACUUUAUGCGUGACUUAUGUUUUUUUUAGUUUUUUCAAAAAAAAAUUCAAAUAAGACGGAUGAAUAAAGUUGGGCACGGAAACUCAUGGCUGCGUUUAUU